GGGGGUGUACUUACACUCGAACCCGGAAAAUGCAAACAUGUAAAAUGAUGUAGACAUGUAUUGGGAGGGGGGGUGUACUUACACUCGAACCCGGAAAAUGCAAAUAUGUAAAAUGAUGUAGACAUGUAUUGGGAGGGGGUGUACUUACACUCGAACCCGGAAAAUGCAAAUCUGUAAAAUGAUGUAGACAUGUAUUGGGAGGGGGUGUACUUACACUCGAACCCGGAAAAUGCAAAUAUGUAAAAUGAUGUAGACAUGUAUUGGGAGGGGGUGUACUUACACUCGAACCCGGAAAAUGCAAACAUGUAAAAUGAUGUAGACAUGUAUUGGGAGGGGGUGUACUUACACUCGAACCCGAAGAAUAUAAACAUGUAAAAUGAUCAAGAUAUGCAUUGGGAGGUAGUGUACUUACACUCGGACCCGAAGAAUGCAAAUAAGACUCUUAACGGGCCGAUUUUGUAAAACACCAAAUUUGAGAACAAAGUAGGAAUAUAAAAGCGAAAUGAAGUCAUAAUGCAUACCGUAAGGGUUGCAAUAAUAACAACUUCGGUAAAACACCCGGUUGGUGGGUAAGGAUUUAAACACAUGCGUAGACUGAGAAACAGGAACGCGCAUGGAAAGUCAAAAGACUCGGGUUUUCGGUCAUGACCAAAGGACGAUAAGAUAACGGCAAAUAGAAAUUUUGAUGACUUACGCUCAACUAUUUUAAAGUUGAACGGGUCGAACAAAGAUUGAAGUUUGACAUUUAUAAGUGAUGAAAUUUUCACACGAACAAGUCAAACAAAAUUUAAAAAAAAGGAUGACUCUUGCUAGAGUAAGUAAGCGCGAAUCAAAUAAAAAAAAGUGUGAAAUAUUAGUAAACCUAUGUAAAGGAGUUAAAGGUGUUAAAAACAUUAGAAUAAAAGAACCCGGGUAAUGGGACGUAAAGAAGUAUAGGUAAGAACCGGUUAACAGUAAGUGUAGGGCAAACCGACGUGUAAUUGACAUUAGAAGUCAAGGAGUCAGAAGGAUAAUUCGAAAGAAAACAAUGUAGCCUUAGACUACGGUCAAGGUCAAACGAAAUCCAAAAAGUAAAGGUGAAUAAUUCUAAAACAUAAGAGGGGGUGCCUUAAUGCCAUAUGCGUAUAUAAAUGUAUACACAUUUGAAUAAAGACUUGAAUAAAAGAUGAUCUACGGGAUCAUCAUGACCUGCGGGAUAUGAAUUAAAGCAAAAGGAUCAUAAGGGUCUCACCUUAAAGAGGUGAAAACAUAAGGAAAUAGCCUACGAGGUUAAGUGAAGGAACCUACGGGUCAAUAGUGUAAGGUGAGGGAAUUUGUUACGAUUCCCCGCAUAAAGUAAGAACAGAAAACAAUAAAUUAUGAGUUAUCAAUUUCCUUGAUAUGGAUAAUUGACAAAAGUUAAAAGGAAAAUGCUAAACUAGAACUCCGGUUUUUGCAAAAAAUGACGUUUUUACGAAUAUGAAUUCUGAUAGACGAAUAUGUAAUAGGCAUGAAAGAUAUAAGUCUUGACACUGAUAAGUGCAAGAUGAUACAUUUGAAAAGAAAGGUUGGAAUAGACCUAAACAUGACGUGACGCGAUCACGGUCAAGAGAAGUAAUGUGAAGUAAUCAUAUUAUGACCCGAGUGAUGGGUACAAAGUAACUGGACUGAUAAGUCUAGUUAGUGAGAUCGGUUAAGGUCGAAACCCAAAUUAAGAAAUUGUUUAACACGUUAUUCACUACGAAGAGUAAUGUAGAAUAAACAUAAUUUAUAAACCUAUGUGACUAAGUGGCCAACGUUUGGCGACUCGGUCAAGUAAACAACAAAGGUAUAUAGAUCCAAGAGAUAAAGUGACGGCCCAUGAGACCUCACUAACAGAAAAUAUUGAUCACUUAUUUGAGGGAUCAUAAAGCUAUAAGUUCAUGAACAAAAGAAUAGUUGCUAAAAGUUAAAGAUUUCACCAAGGACCUUUAAACGGGUCAAAACGACGGAUUCAUAAAUAAUUUGAUAGUAUAUGAAAGCGAUGAAUAUCGCUAAGUUAACCGGACUAGUGGAAAUAACGAGGUUACGUUAUUUCAAGAUUGCACUAUGUAGUAUGAGAUACGUAGACAAUUAGUAACCAAAAGGAUAUUUCCAUACUUUUCUGGUAAUACUAACAAUUGGUCAAAGUAAAAGUAACGUUCAAAAGAUUUCUCGGAUCAAAUGCAUUGAGUUUGAACUCGAUGAAUUAAGCAAGAAAAGGUUUCGAGGACGAAACCUCUUUAAGGGGGGUAGACUUGUAACACCCCGAAAACAGGAUUGGAAAUUAAACUCCGUUAAUACUAAAGACGGGGAAAGUACCGUUAGCGGUAAAAGUAAACCGGAAAAUAUUAGGAAUCAAGUGAAUAAUCCUAAUAUUAAUUAAAAGUGAAUAAGAGCUUCCAGGAAAAUAGAAUGGAUAAAAGGCCCGAUUUAACGGGACUUAAAAUAAAACGGGUUUUAACUCCCGGAACCCACUAAGUUAACUAGGUAAAAUUAACCUAGUUAGUAAUGAGUAACUAAAUAAUAAACUAUGGGUUAUAGUUUCAUUUAUGAAUCUCUAAACUUGAGGGGCUAAACAUGGGCAAUUAGAGAAGUGUUUUAUUAAAACACUUAAAUAAAAAAAAACCACACAUACAUGUGUGUACGUAUGCGAUCGGAAGAAGGAGCCAGGAGAGCUCAAACCCUAGUUCAACAAAUCCUCCAAAUCGAAGCUCAAAUCAAGCCCGAAUCGUCUGCAUGACUACAAAUUCGUGAUCGCCUAGUCGUGGGGAUCAUAAGUUGACUCUAAACAAGCUAGGUGGCAGCUUGAAAAGGAACGGGUCAAACGGAUCAUGGAUGCGAAGAAUGUUUGCGCGGACGCGAGGUAAGUAAAGCUUACACUUUUUUUUAGGAUACGUAUUUACUUUAUAGAUUAUAAACACGACCAAGGUUAUAUCCGAAAUAUGGGUUCCGACACGAAAUGAUACGGGUCGGGAAGAAUAAAAGGAUAAAAACCAUGUUUAAUGACAAAAAGGGGCGAAAUGGGUUAAAUAAUGAAAUGGUAAAUAAAUACCAUUCAAAUAUAAGUGCAAAAUGUUGGUCGUUUAGACUAAACAGGUCAAAUGGUAAUGUUAACACCAUUUGACGAAUAACGACUAACACGUGCAUGUCGAGUCUAAUGCUCACAGGGUAAAACGGCUUAUGGAAUUUACGUGGCUAUGAAUCAGCAAAUUAUUAAGGCAAGGUAUUAAAACGGGUCAAUACUUUGACCCGCGCCAGGUACGCGUAAAUUUGGUGGAAGAUAUGUGAAUACCUUAAUGUAGAAAAAUGACAUGUGAAAGUAGAGAGUGGGAUUUAAACUUAAAUGAUUAAAUUCUCUCUAACGGGUCAAAAUAUGCAUUUAAGCGUAGACGGGUCAAAAUCUUGUAAAAAGGUAAUAAGCCGAAUGCAUAAAAGUCUCAAAAUUUAUUAAGCCGGAUGUCGGACUUUAACUCCAUAUGAUGGAGAAUCAAAUUACAAACAUGUAGGAAGAAAUGGUAGGUCAAACGGACAUGCGAAUUUAAAGAUACGAAAGAUUUCGUGUCAAUUACGGCAAAAUGGAAAGGCUGAAUGCAGGGGCCACCGUAACUUACGGUGCCACCGUAAGUUACGGUGGAGCUGAAUUAUUUACGGUGGUUGCCUACUGUUGUACGGUAGGAAAAUUUGAUUACAGAGGCCACCGUAACUUACGGUGCCACCGUAAGUUACGGUGGAGGUCAUUUUCAAAUUUUUGUUUUUGGAAUCAAUGGUUUCCCGGACUCGUUUGGACACGUUUUAAAGCCCGUAAGACUAAAUCAUUUCGUGUUUAUGAAAUGUAGGUACAUUUUGGAUGCCGGAAGACGAUCAAGCUCGACGAAGGACCGAACACGAUAUAGAUACAUGCUUCCGCACUUUAACACUUUGCAAAUUUUAAACAACGAAUUCAACCACGUUAUGUAGAAUAACUUAUGAAUUGUAAAAGUUUUAAUAAAUUCGUAUUUUUAUAGUAUGUGUAGGCUUAACUAC
Molecule: long non-coding RNA, 4023 nt
Filed under: Helianthus annuus (common sunflower)
Lineage: Eukaryota; Viridiplantae; Streptophyta; Magnoliopsida; Asterales; Asteraceae
Description: hypothetical non coding rna
Source: RNAcentral